AAGUCCCAUAACGAGCGCAACCCUACCUUUAGUUGCCAUCAGGUAAUGCUGGGGACUCUAAAGGAACUGCCUACGCAAGUAGUGAGGAAGCGGGGAUGACGUCAAAUCAGCAGGCCCUUACGUCCAGGGCUGCACACGUGCUACAAUGGCCGAUACAGAGGGCAGCUACCUGGUGACAGGAUGCAAAUCUCCAAAGUCGGUCUCAGUUCGGAUCGGAGUCUGCAACCCGACUCCGUGAAGUUGGAUUCGCUAGUAAUCGCGCAUCAGCCAUGGCGCGGUGAAUACGUUCCCGGGCCUU
RNAcentral lists this ribosomal RNA (298 nucleotides) under uncultured Sphingobacteriales bacterium. Its description in RNAcentral is "partial 16S ribosomal RNA". It matches the Rfam family "Bacterial small subunit ribosomal RNA", at positions 1082 to 1382 of the family's 1533-position model. Lineage: Bacteria; Pseudomonadati; Bacteroidota; Sphingobacteriia; Sphingobacteriales. The record is from RNAcentral.